Molecule: ribosomal RNA, 301 nt
Filed under: uncultured bacterium
Lineage: Bacteria
Description: partial 16S ribosomal RNA
Rfam family: Bacterial small subunit ribosomal RNA
Source: RNAcentral
CAGUCGCCACGGUAAUACGUAGGUGGCAAGCGUUGUCCGGAAUUAUUGGGCGUAAAGGGCUCGCAGGCGGUUUCUUAAGUCUGAUGUGAAAGCCCCCGGCUCAACCGGGGAGGGUCAUUGGAAACUGGGAAACUUGAGUGCAGAAGAGGAGAGUGGAAUUCCACGUGUAGUGGUGAAAUGCGUAGAGAUGUGGAGGAACACCAGUGGCGAAGGCGACUCUCUGGUCUGUAACUGACGCUGAGGAGCGAAAGCGUGGGGAGCGAACAGGAUUAGAUACCCGUGUAGUCCCUGUCUCUUAUAC